RNAcentral lists this ribosomal RNA (484 nucleotides) under uncultured bacterium. RNAcentral describes it as "partial 16S ribosomal RNA". It matches the Rfam family "Bacterial small subunit ribosomal RNA", at positions 30 to 507 of the family's 1533-position model. The record is from RNAcentral.
AUUGAACGCUGGCGGCAGGCCUAACACAUGCAAGUCGAGCGGAUGAAGGGAGCUUGCUCCUGGAUUCAGCGGCGGACGGGUGAGUAAUGCCUAGGAAUCUGCCUGGUAGUGGGGGAUAACGUCCGGAAACGGGCGCUAAUACCGCAUACGUCCUGAGGGAGAAAGUGGGGGAUCUUCGGACCUCACGCUAUCAGAUGAGCCUAGGUCGGAUUAGCUAGUUGGUGGGGUAAAGGCCUACCAAGGCGACGAUCCGUAACUGGUCUGAGAGGAGGAUCAGUCACACUGGAACUGAGACACGGUCCAGACUCCUACGGGAGGCAGCAGUGGGGAAUAUUGGACAAUGGGCGAAAGCCUGAUCCAGCCAUGCCGCGUGUGUGAAGAAGGUCUUCGGAUUGUAAAGUACUUUAAGUUGGGAGGAAGGGCAGUAAGUUAAUACCGUGCUGUUGUGACGUUACCAACAGAGUAAGCACCGGCUAACUUCGUG